GACGAACGCUGGCGGCGUGCCUAAUACAUGCAAGUAGAACGCUGAAGGAGGAGCUUGCUCUUCUGGAUGAGUUGCGAACGGGUGAGUAACGCGUAGGUAACCUGCCUAGUAGCGGGGGAUAACUAUUGGAAACGAUAGCUAAUACCGCAUAACAGUAGAUGUUGCAUGACAUUUACUUAAAAGGUGCAAUUGCAUCACUACCAGAUGGACCUGCGUUGUAUUAGCUAGUUGGUGGGGUAACGGCUCACCAAGGCGACGAUACAUAGCCGACCUGAGAGGGUGAUCGGCCACACUGGGACUGAGACACGGCCCAGACUCCUACGGGAGGCAGCAGUAGGGAAUCUUCGGCAAUGGACGGAAGUCUGACCGAGCAACGCCGCGUGAGUGAAGAAGGUUUUCGGAUCGUAAAGCUCUGUUGUAAGAGAAGAACGAGUGUGAGAGUGGAAAGUUCACACUGUGACGGUAUCUUACCAGAAAGGGACGGCUAACUACGUG
RNAcentral lists this ribosomal RNA (495 nucleotides) under uncultured bacterium. RNAcentral describes it as "partial 16S ribosomal RNA". It matches the Rfam family "Bacterial small subunit ribosomal RNA", at positions 28 to 507 of the family's 1533-position model. The record is from RNAcentral.